RNAcentral lists this ribosomal RNA (407 nucleotides) under uncultured bacterium. RNAcentral describes it as "partial 16S ribosomal RNA". It matches the Rfam family "Bacterial small subunit ribosomal RNA", at positions 30 to 526 of the family's 1533-position model. The record is from RNAcentral.
AUUGAACGCUGGCGGCAGGCCUAACACAUGCAAGUCGAGCGGAGCGGCGGACGGGGGAGUAAUGCCUAGGAAUCUGCCUGGUAGUGGGGGAUAACGUCCGGAAACGGGCGCUAAUACCGCAUACUAUCAGAUGAGCCUAGGUCGGAUUAGCUAGUUGGUGGGGUAAAGGCCUACCAAGGCGACGAUCCGUAACUGGCCUGAGAGGAUGAUCAGUCACACGGGAACUGAGACACGGCCCAGACUCCUACGGGAGGCAGCAGUGGGGAAUAUUGGACAAUGGACGAAAGCCUGAUCCAGCCAUGCCGCGUGAGUGAAGAAGGUUUUCGGAUUGUAAAGCACUGUAGGUUGGGAGGCGUUACCAACAGAAUAAGCACCGGCUAACUACGUGCCAGCAGCCGCGGUAAUUC